This 99-nucleotide non-coding RNA is filed under the name Streptococcus salivarius. Its description in RNAcentral is "Glycine riboswitch". It matches the Rfam family "Glycine riboswitch aptamer", at positions 9 to 86 of the family's 94-position model. From Rfam's summary of the family: This family represents the bacterial glycine riboswitch. The record is from RNAcentral. Lineage: Bacteria; Bacillati; Bacillota; Bacilli; Lactobacillales; Streptococcaceae.
ACGGACUUCUGGAGAGAUCUUGAAGCAGCCUUAGCUGCAAACAAGACACCGAAGGGGCAAGGGGUAACAACCGAAACUCUCAGGUAAAAGGACAGAAAG